AUUGAACGCUGGCGGCAUGCCUUACACAUGCAAGUCGAACGGUAACAGGUCUUCGGAUGCUGACGAGUGGCGAACGGGUGAGUAAUACAUCGGAACGUGCCCGAGAGUGGGGGAUAACGAGGCGAAAGCUUUGCUAAUACCGCAUACGAUCUCAGGAUGAAAGCAGGGGACCGCAAGGCCUUGCGCUCACGGAGCGGCCGAUGGCAGAUUAGGUAGUUGGUGGGAUAAAAGCUUACCAAGCCGACGAUCUGUAGCUGGUCUGAGAGGACGACCAGCCACACUGGGACUGAGACACGGCCCAGACGCCUACGGGAGGCAGCAGGGGGGAAUUUUGGACAAUGGGAGCAAGCCUGAUCCAGCCAUGCCGCGUGCAGGAUGAAGGCCUUCGGGUUGUAAACUGCUUUUGUACGGAACGAAAAGACUCUGGUUAAUACCUGGGGUCCAUGACGGUACCGUAAGAAUAAGCACCGGCUAACUACGUGCCAGCCGCCGCCGUAA
This 498-nucleotide ribosomal RNA is filed under the name uncultured bacterium. RNAcentral describes it as "partial 16S ribosomal RNA". It matches the Rfam family "Bacterial small subunit ribosomal RNA", at positions 30 to 523 of the family's 1533-position model. The record is from RNAcentral.